This 4467-nucleotide long non-coding RNA is filed under the name Capsicum annuum. RNAcentral describes it as "long non-coding RNA (CANN_LNC007792)". Lineage: Eukaryota; Viridiplantae; Streptophyta; Magnoliopsida; Solanales; Solanaceae. The record is from RNAcentral.
UGACCUAAUAAAUCUAAGACAUUUAGUUGCUGAUUAUUCAAAACCUCUGAAGCAUAUAAGCAAACUCACAAGUCUUCAACUUCUUAGUGGCCUUUCUUGUGAUCAAUGGAGAGAUGUCAACCCUGUUGAUUUAGUCAAUCUUGGAGAAUUACGCAUGUUUGAUAUUGCCAAAACUUACUCCCUGAAUAACAUUGGCAACUUGAAACACCUUCACACUCUCUUCUUGGGUUGUAAAUAUAAAUCAUUCCCGCCCCUAGAAUUUCUUAAUUCUUGUCAAAUGCUCCACAAAUUGUGGUUAAAAGGGAGAAUAGAGAACCUGCCUCUGCCGGACACAUUUCCACAUUCCAUCACAAUGAUGAUCCUUUGGGACUCAAAACUCAUAGAAGAUCCGAUGCCUAUGUUGGGAAUGCUGCCAAACCUAAGGUAUCUCGAUUUAGUUGCAGCUUACGAAGGAAAGGAAAUUAGUUGCAGUGAUAACAACUUCGGUCAACUGGAGUUCCUUCAUCUUGAUAGUCUUUGGAACCUAGAAAGAUGGCAUUCAGCCACAAGUGCCAUGCCUCUGAUUAAAGGUCUUGGUAUCCAUUACUGUCCACAGUUGAAUGAGAUUCCAAAGAAGAUGAAUGGCGUGGAGAAGUUGAAGAGAUGUGGUUUUUUAUUAUCGUAGAGGUAAUAAAUCUCAAUCCCCAAUUACCAUUUCUUCAAAACGAAUAAUGAUAUUUGAAAACUAGACUAUUAGAGUUGUAUUAAUAAUCGUAUUUGGGCAUAAGUACAAGUUGGUGGUGUUGUUUUUUUUUGAGUAAUUUGGAGUGAAAAUAAUUUUUUUUGAUGUUUCUAGAAUUUUUAAAAAAUUCGAAAUUCAACUCGAGUUCAAUUUCGGAAUUUUAUAGCCAAAUAUGUUUUCCACAGUUCAUAUUCAAAAUUAAGUAAUAGAAAAAUAAUCCUCGACAAACACCUCCUAAUUCCUUUUACUCACUCUAUCACAGAUUUAUUUAAUUUUAUACCAUAACAAUUUAUUUUAUUUACAUUGUCAACUUAUUAAAAAAUUCAAUUACAAAUGAUUUUCUAUAAGUAAAUUAAUUAUGGCUGAUAUUUUGUCCUGUAUGACAUAAAUGAUUUAUUUUGAGUAAAUUAAUUAUGGCUGAUAUUUUGUCCUGUAUGACAUAAAUGAUUUAUUUUGAGUAAAUUAAUUAUGGCUGAUAUUUUGUCCUGUAUGACAUAAAUGAUUUAUUUUGAUUUACAUGGAAAUAGUUUCGUAAAAAAAUAUGUUAUCGAUGUUUAAACGGUGAGUGAAAAAUACUCUUGAAAACAUAUACAUUACAAAUUAAUAAUGAAAUUACCAUACUGGAGAGUUUCUUGAUGAAAUUUUGAGUAGAGAUAAUACAUAAAUACAACCCUAAACUUGACAUCAAAUUAUAACUUCGACCUUAAACUUUGAUAGUGCACAAUAAGACCUUUAACUAUUCAAAAUCUGAACAAAUAUGACCUCCGAUUGUGUAACCCCCAUGCGUGAGUUUCACUCGCGCUUAUGUGGAAAGGUAAUUCAAUCACAUGGUGCCACGUCGUUAAAAGGGCUGACUUGGAUGGAGGUCAUAUUUGUGCAGUUUUGAAUAGUUAAAGGUCAUAUUUGUGCAUUGUCAAAGUUUUAUUUUUUGUGUUAAAGCGUUGUCGUUUUUAUUAUUAUUAUUAUUAUUAUUAUUAUUUAUUUAUUUAUUUAUUUAUUUAUUUGGGGAUCGAACCCGCGCGGUAGGCUGAAGGAAGCACCCAAGAAGAGCAAAUAACACCAUUGGACUAUCUAAGUGCCUUGUUUCAUGUGGUUCAACAUUAAUAUACGUACAUAAAUAUAAAUUUUCUACCUUAUAUAUACAACGUAAUUUUUUUUACCGAGGGGGUUCGGGUAAACCCAUUGGCAACCACGUAGGUUCGUUCCUGCGUUAAUUUAAUAACGUUUUAAUAACGUUAAUUUAAUAACAUUUUAAUAACGUUAGUUUAAUAUACUACUACUACUAUCCUUAAUAACGUUAAUUUAAUAACGCUUUAUUAAAACUAUAGUUUUUUUUAUUAUUAGUAUAGUUUCAUCUUUAAUUUAAUAGUUAAAUAAAUUAUAUUUAGAUAUAUUAUAUAACUUAAAUUCACCCUCUCCUUUAUAAUAUAUAUACAUACCUGCGUGAUUUUUUCAUAUGAGGCUGACCCACCUAAUUAAUAAAUCUUCAAUAUUGCUCUUUUUCCGCAAUGACAAAAGAAAUUAGAUGUCAUUUUAAACUUUGAGCCGAAAAUAAUGAAAAAAUAAUAGUGAAAAGUCAUUUAAAGGUUAUAUUUGUGCAGUUUUGAAUAGUUAAAGAUCAUAUUUGUGCACUGUCAAAGUUUAAGGUCAAAGUUAUAAUUUGGUGUCAAGUUUAGGGUCAUAUUUAUGUAUUUUGCCCUUAGAUUUUAAGCUGGACGCUCCCAGUUUUACGUAUUGAACACGCAUUUUGCUACGUCGGAUCGGAGGUCAUAUCUGUGCAGUUUUAAAUAGUUAAAGGUCAUAUUUAUGCACUAUCAAAGUUAUAAUUUGAUGUCAAAUUUAGAAUCAUAUUUAUGUAUUAUCUCUUUUGAGUACUAUCUAUUUGUUGGAGCAUUAUCUCUUUUGAGUACUAUCUAGUAGUUGGAGCACCUAUUGUGAUGUUAAGUGAGAGUCAUUUUUCCUAGUUCGAUGAAAAAUAUUUGGGUAAGCAAAUAUUGGAAAAUGACUUCCUCAUCAUAAAUAUUUUUUCUCGAAAAUGACUUUCUUCAUAUAAAAACACAUCAAGUUUUAUUGACAAUCUAUAAUUUGGUUGACACUUGAUAUUAUGUUGAACAUCACAAUUGAUACAAGGAUGACCAAGAACACAAGAAAAUAUACAUCAAAACAGUCCACAAAUUGAGGAAACUCGAGACUAUUUUGGUGACCACUCUCGGAUUCGCUAAUUAUAAAAAAAAUAGAGAGAACAACGAGUGUUAAAACCUCAAAACAGCCAACCAACAAGUUAUAUUAGCACAAUAUAAUGAAGAACAACAGGGCUACAACAACUACAACCUACGGGUUCUACAACAAUACAAGGGAAAUUCGAAACUAGAACAAGAAACAAAGAUUGAUAGUUAGACACAGUGAAGUUGUAAUCUUAAGAACCCAAGAAUGGUAACUCUUGGACCCUUAACACCACACUCAACACGCACCUAACUCUUACAAUGACACAAGAGGGCGUCCACCUCUCAAGCACCAAGGUAUCAAGCUUUGCAACACACAAGAUAAUCCACCCUUAUGCUAUGCCCUAAUUUCCGUUUGGAGCUCUCUCUCACAAGAGGAGUGUUCUUACAAUAUCAAACAUAAAUCAAGUAAAUGAAUCCUACAUUGUUCUAUUUAUACAACAUUACAAACAAAUAGAGAAAUGACAAAAGAGUCCUUCAAUAAAUGGGCUCCAAAAACCACCCCGUAAGUGUACCAAAAGGAUGACUUUGGGCCUCCUUUACACUUGGGCUUGUGCACUCCUUUAAGUGGUCUUAAAAAAUGCUCAAAAAGUGUCCAUGAACAUGAUCAUACUUGUAUCAACAAUUAAUCAUUAAUUUAGGUAAUUAAUAGAUCUUUUAUUGAAUACUAGUUAUUAUAUUAAAUAGUACCCCUUACGAUUUGAGUUAAACAAGAGAACCAAUUGUUAAUGGAUAUAGUUGAUUUAUACAGUUUAUCGUAACUAAUUUGCAAAGAAACAUUCUAUAAAUCUCAAUUCGCUAUGGAAAGUCUCAAUUCAAAAGUUAAGUAAUUCAUACUAAAAAUGAUUUUAUUAUCAGGUUCAACUUGGCCUUUUUACCAAUACUAGAUAGGUAUGCUCGUACUUUGCACAGGCCCAACGUGUAAUUUAAACUUGAAGUUAAGGUUAGUUCUAUUCUUUUUACCAAUCAAGCACAAAGGUACCUCUCACUAGAUAUUUUUAACUUGAAGUUAAGGUCAGUUCUAUUCGUUGAUCCCUUUCAUAAGCUCGAUCUUAUAAACUUCCGUAAUAAGUUCCAACAUAUAUAUGUGUUGCAAUUGGAUAUUUAAUCUGCACAAAACUACCUGAUUCCAUAGGGAGUUUGUACCACCUCAAGUUCUUAAGAUUGAAAGGCAUCCAUGAAUUUCCUUCUUCCAUUGGCAAUCUCAAGAAUUUACAGACGCUUUGUGUCUCCAAUGACCACAGACAGUUAUGUCAACUACCUCCUAAGACAGCUGACCUAAUAAAUUUAGACAUUUAGUUGCUGAUUAUUCAAAACCUCUGAAGCAUAUAAGCAAACUCACACGUCUUCAACUUCUUAGUGGCCUUUCUUGUGAUCAAUGGAGAGAUGUCAACCCUGUUGAUUUAGUCAAUCUUGGAGAAUUACGCGUGUUUGAUAUUGCCAAAACUUACUCCCUGAAUAACAUUGGCAACUUGAAACACCUUCACACUCUCUUCUUGGGUUGUAAAUAUAAAUCAUUCCCAC